RNAcentral lists this ribosomal RNA (729 nucleotides) under uncultured eukaryote. RNAcentral describes it as "SSU rRNA". It matches the Rfam family "Eukaryotic small subunit ribosomal RNA", at positions 670 to 1426 of the family's 1831-position model. The record is from RNAcentral.
CGGGUGCACUGAUCCGGCCGGGCCUUUCCCUCUGUGGAACCCCAUGGCCUUCACUGGCUGUGCGGGGGAAACAGGACUUUUACUGUGAAAAGAUUAGAGUGCUCCAGGCAGGCCUAUGCUCGAAUACAUUAGCAUGGAAUAAUAGAAUAGGACGCGUGGUUCUAUUUUGUUGGUUUCUAGGACCGCCGUAAUGAUUAAUAGGGACAGUCGGGGGCAUCAGUAUUCAAUUGUCAGAGGUGAAAUUCUUGGAUCUAUUGAAGACUAACUACUGCGAAAGCAUUUGCCAAGGAUGUUUUCAUUGAUAAGGAACGAAAGUUAGGGGAUCGAAGACGAUCAGAUACCGUCGUAGUCUUAACUAUAAACUAUGCCGACUAGGGAUCGGACGAUGUUAUUUCUUGACGCGUUCGGCACCUUUCGAGAAAUCAAAGUGCUUGGGCUCCAGGGGGAGUAUGGUCGCAAGGCUGAAACUUAAAGAAAUUGACGGAAGGGCACCACCAGGGGUGGAACCUGCGGCUUAAUUUGACUCAACACGGGGAAACUCACCAGGUCCAGACACAAUGAGGAUUGACAGAUUGAGAGCUCUUUCUUGAUUUUGUGGGUGGUGGUGCAUGGCCGUUCUUAGUUGGUGGAGUGAUUUGUCUGCUUAAUUGCGAUAACGAACGAGACCUUAGCCUGCUAAAUAGCCCGUACUGCUCUGGCAGUUCGCCGGCUUCUUAGAGGGACUAUCGG